This is a non-coding RNA of Chlorocebus sabaeus (green monkey), 4961 nucleotides long. NCBI's taxonomy places the organism in Eukaryota, Metazoa, Chordata, Mammalia, Primates, Cercopithecidae. The record is from RefSeq and is a predicted model, not a curated record.
CCUAGUUUCCCUGGUGAGGCUGCACAGGCCACUUCGUAGGUUGCCGAGACUUCUUUGUGGCUUUACAUAGUUUUAAGUCCACCUCUACCAUCUUGGGAGAUUGCACAGACCACAUCUACAACCCAUCAAGGCUUUAUGGGAUAUAUUUGUCACCUCCCAGAGUUGUGUGGGUCAUCAAUGAAACCAUCUAAGUUUCCAAGUUCCACCUCUGCCCCUCCUAAUUUUGCACAGUUAUCCCUGAAGCAACAUGAGGUAUGUGGGUGCUUCAGAGACAGUGGAAUGGUCCUCCAUCCCCCAGGUAUAUAUUUAACAAGCCAGUGGACGGACAUGCUCUGGUCAUCUUCGGGGUGAAACUGGACUCCCGCCGGAUCCCUAUCCAAAGCUCCCUGCAGAGGGUGGAGGUGACUGAAUCCCAGCUCCCCAACCUCCAAUUCACUCCACUUUCUAUCACUCCCCAAGAAACCAUAUCCUCUUCCUCUCUCUUACCUUAAGAACAGAUCUCGGAAGGCCUGGGCCACGUCUCCCUCCAGAAGGAUGUGCUGAUGGCUGCAUUCCAAGGCCCAGAAAAGGACUUCAUUGGAGGAUCAAUCUUUGUCAAUGUCACCGUGUUCUCCUCAGGGGGUGAGAUGGUGCAAGCCGAGACCUCAGGGGUGAAGAUUGUCCAGAGCCCAUACAACAUCAAGUUCACCAGGACACCCCAGUAUUUCAAGCCAGGAAUGCCCUUCCACUUUCGGGUCUUCGUCUCAAAUCCUGAUGGAUCCCCAGCUAACAGAGUCCUUGUCCAGUCCCAAAACUACAAAGUGUGCACCUCAACUGAGGGAUUGGCCACUCUGACCAUCAACACAGAUGCAAAUCUGGACAAGCUCCCCAUCGAGGUGAAAACUGAGGAAUCUCUUCAGCCAGAGGAGCAGGCUUCAGCCAAGAUGACAGCUUGGCCUUACUUGACUCAAGAUGGGUCAGGAAACUUCCUGCACAUCGAAGUAAAGACAUUAGGCGGCACAGAGGUUGGCAGCAGCAUCCAGUUGAGCCUCAAUACAAAGCAUCAGGACCCUAAAACCAAGGACCGGAUUACUCACUUCACCAUCCUGGUCCUGAGUAAGGGCCAGAUUGUGAGUGCCAGACAUCAGUUAAAAAGCCAGGGGAGUGUCUACACGUCAGCCAUUAUUGAUGUGACUUCAGCGAUGCUGCCCUCCUUCCGCAUUCUGGCAUUUUAUUUACUUCCCAGAGGAGUGAGCCAGGAUCCUGAGUUGGUGGCUGAUUCCAUAUGGAUUGAUGUGAAUGACAGAUGCAUAGGGACGCUGAAAGUUGGCUUGAAGAAUGAUAGAUUCUUCCCAUCUUUGGAGCCCAACAGCCAAGUGGAACUGAAGGUGACAGGUGAUGCAGAAGCCACAGUGGGGCUGGUGGCUGUGGACAAGGCUGUCUAUGUUUUGAACAGCAAACACAAGCUCACUCAGAAGAAGACUGGCCCUGCCCCCAGGACCCUCCUCCUAACCGCCAUCGCCGCUCCCUGAAGAGGCUGGAGACAAAGAGGAAUGCAGUGAACAAGUUUAAGACAGAGCUGGAGCAAAAGUGCUGUGAGGCUGGGCUCCGGGAAAGCCCAGUGGAGCUGUCCUGUGAGGAGAGGACCUGGCAUGUCCGCCAUGGUCCAGCCUGUGUGGCUGCUUUCCUGGACUGCUGCCAUCUAUCUGAGACCCUGACUCGGGAGGCUCGAGAGGAUCAGCUGCGUCUGGGGACAAUGGAUGAAGAGGAGGACUUCGACGACCUCUUCCUGGAUGACAUGCCGGCGCGGACCUUGUUCCCUGAGAGUUGGCUCUGGAGGAAGUUCACUCUGCCAAAGAGUGAAUCGGGCAUCUCCCAUUACCCCAUCUCUGUGAACGUGCCAGAUUCCAUCACCACAUGGCAGUUUGUGGCGGUCAGCCUCAAGGCUGGACAAGGUCUCUGUGUCUCGGACCCCUUUGAGCUGACAGUUAUGAAAUCGUUCUUUGUGGACCUUAAGUUGCCCUCCUCUGUGGUCAGGAAUGAGCAGGUCCAGAUCCAAGCCGUGUUGUACAAUUUCAGGGAUCGCCAGGCCAAGGUCCGAGUGGAGUUCCCCCACAAGGAGCCGCUGUGCAGUGCGUCAAAGCCAGGAGCACCAUCCCGCCAGGCAGGGGGUCAGAUCCAGCAAACGUCCUACAGCAUCGUCUUGGAACCCCAAGGUCAGACCCAGACAAAACUGGUGCCAAGACAGGAGUUCUUGAACAUGGUACCCGACACGGAGGCGGAAGUGUUUAUCAGUGUUCAAGGCUACACUCGGAUGUUGACCCACCGGAGUUCAGACGGCACCUACCACACCUCCAAGGGGAACCCAGGAAGCACCUGGCUCACAAGCUACGUGUUCCGUGUCUUUGCCCUGGCCCACUCUACAGUGACGACCCAAGUGCUUAGCCUGUCCUCUCUCUGUGACAUGGCCAACUGGAUCAUCACCAACAGGCAGGCGGAGGACGGGCACUUCCUGGAGGAGGGUCCCGUGGUCAUGACAUCCAUGCAGGGUGGCUACCAAGGCUCCGAGGAGGAUGUAUCCCUCACAGCUCUCGUCCUGAUAGCCCUGAAUGAGGGAAAGGAGUUGUGCAACCAGAAGAAUUUGAUGGUCAGCAUCGAGAGAGCCCGUGGCUUCCUGGAGAGAAAACUUCCUGACAUUCAGACAACAUUUGCCAUAGCCAUAGCCUCCUACGCACUGGCCCUUGCCAACAGCUCCCAAGCCAACGACCGCCUGGACAGCUUUGCUAGCCCUAGUGAGUGUGGGAUGCUUCUUAGUCAACCUCAGUCAUGGAGUGGGGAGGGGGUGAUCUCAAAUCCAGCAAUGUGUCAUUCAUCACUUAGUGUUUCCUGAGCAUCCACUGUGUAUCAACUCUUGAGCUCAGACCCCGUGAGACCAAGACAAAACCCACUGGCCGGUGGAUGAGCAGAACCUCGGCUCCCUGUACACCAUUGAGGCCACAGCCUAUGCGCUCAUGCAGAAGCUGGAGAGGCGCCGGUACAAUGAGACGCACGCCAUCGCCAAGUGGCUACUAGAGAAGCGGGAGCUGGGAGGAGGCUUCGGGUCCACCCAGACCACGGUGGUGGCCCUUGAAGCUCUGACCCGCUUCCGCGAAGAUGUCCCCUUCCAGGGCGUCCAGGAUUUCCACAUCCAGGUCAGCGCCCCCAAGAAAGCCCUGAAUGUGAAUUGGCACAUUGAUCACAACAAUGCCUACCAACAGCGGUCAGCAAAGUUCCUUGCCCAGGAUGACCUAGAGAUCAAAGCCAGUGGCAACGGGAGAGGCACCAUCUCGAUCCUGACCAUGUACCACAAGUCUCCAGAGUCCUGGGAGGACAACUGCAACCUGUACCACCUGAAUGUGACUCUCCACAGUGUCUUAGAAGAAAAUAAAAAGGGAGACGAGACCUUUCGGCUCAGGAUGGAAACAAGGUUCCAGAACAAUCGAGAGGCCACAAUGACCAUCAUGGAGGUCUCCCUGCUCACUGGCUUCUACCCCAACCAGGAUGACCUCAAACAGCUCACAAGUGAUGUGGAGAGGUACGCCUUUCAGUACGAAACCAAGACAAGUACCAGCGACAGCACCGUUGUCCUCUACCUGGAAAAGCUCUCCCAUGAGAAAAACACAGUGCUGGGCUUUCGGGUUCACAGGAUGCUGCAGGCGGAGUUCCUGCAGGCCGCCCUGGUCACUAUCUACGACUAUUACGAGCCUUGACAGUGCCCAUCCCUGCAGAAGCCCAGUGGCCAACUGAGGCAGGAGGAGCUCCAGACAACAGCAUGUGAGGCAGGCGUGGAUUUUGUGUACAAGACAAAGCUGGAAUCUGUGGAGGUCUCUGCCUCCAACCCUUAUGUCUAUUACAACAUGCAGCUCGAAGACAUCAUUAAGAGUGGCACAGAUCCUGCCACACCCCUUGCCAUGAAGAAAUUCAUCUCCCACGCCACCUGCCACGACUCCCUGGGGUUGCAAGAACAGGAAUCGUACCUUAUCAUGGGCCAGACAUCAGACCUGUGGAGAAUCAAAUCUGAUUACAGCUACGUUCUGGGCAGGGAGACGUUCCUCAUGCUUUGGCCAGCAGAUGGAGAUGCCAGCAAGAAAGAAUUGCGGAAGCAACUGGACGAAUUUUCGGAAUAUAUGCGCACCCAUGGCUGCGAGUCCUGAGCCUCCUCUGCUUUCAGGGAGGUGUCACCAGGCAGCUCUGGGCCACUGGGUUUAACCCCAAAUAAAGAGCACAGGAUAUCACACCCAAACCCUGGACACUUGUCCCUGUUGCACCUUUCACCAGGGGACCUGCACAACCUGCUCUGGCAUGACGUGGACCUGUCUCCUCCCUCCUCCCCCGCUACUUGGGUGGCUGAGGUGGGAGGCUCACUCGAGCCCAGGAGUUGGAGGCUGUAGUGAGCUAUGCUCAAUACAUUUGGCUCCGUUCUGACCACACUGGCCUCCUUUGCAUCCUUCCAGCAUCCACCUCCGUGGGGAGAUGAUUCCCAGCUCCAGGCUUUUGCACCCACCAUUCCUCUCCCAGGUGCACCCCUCCCCCUAAAGUCGGCUUAGCUUGAAUCGUUCCCUUUUCUGGGCUCUGUUUAAUUGUCACCUCUGGCAUGGUGGCUCAUGCCUGUAAUCCCAGCAUUUUGGGAGGCCGAGGUGGGUGGAUGUUAAAUGGGUGUUUUCCCUGCCCCACAAUGUCAGCUCCUUAAAGUCGGGGUUGUAUCUGUCUUAUUUGCUGUGGUAUUCCCUGUUUUUACAGCAGGAGCUGGAACUCAGUAGGUGCUCAGGAAAUGAGUGUUGACUCAGUGAAUAGACGGAUGGAUGAAUGAGUCAGUGAAUAAAUGGAUGGCUGAGUUUGGUGCCCACAUUCUGAGCUUGGCCCUAAUGGUUCACUUGCUGUGUAACUUCAAGCAGCUUAUAGUGAUGGAAGCUUUGUUUUGGUUUUGGUUUGGUUUGGUUUGG